AUUGAACGCUGGCGGCAUGCCUUACACAUGUAAGUCGAACGGCAGCACGGGUGCUUGCACCUGGUGGCGAGUGGCGAACGGGUGAGUAAUAUAUCGGAACGUACCUUAUUGUGGGGGAUAACGCAGCGAAAGCUGUGCUAAUGCCGCAUAAUCCCUAAGGGGGAAAGCGGGGGACCGUAAGGCCUCGCGCAAUUAGAGCGGCCGAUACCUGAUUAGCUAGUUGGUGAGGUAAAGGCUCACCAAGGCAACGAUCAGUAGCUGGUCUGAGAGGACGAUCAGCCACACUGGGACUGAGACACGGCCCAGACUCCUACGGGAGGCAGCAGUGGGGAAGUUUGGACAAUGGGGGGAACCCUGGUCCAGCAAUGCCGCGUGAGGGAAGAAGGCCUUCGGGUUGUAAAGCUCUUUUGUCAGGGAAGAAACACCGGCUCUAACACAGUCCGGGAAUGACGGUACCUGAAGAAUAAGCACCGGCUAACCACGUGCCAGCCGCCGCCGUAA
Molecule: ribosomal RNA, 501 nt
Filed under: uncultured bacterium
Lineage: Bacteria
Description: partial 16S ribosomal RNA
Rfam family: Bacterial small subunit ribosomal RNA
Source: RNAcentral